Molecule: ribosomal RNA, 253 nt
Filed under: uncultured prokaryote
Description: partial 16S ribosomal RNA
Rfam family: Bacterial small subunit ribosomal RNA
Source: RNAcentral
UACAGAGGUCUCAAGCGUUGUUCGGAUUCAUUGGGCGUAAAGGGUGCGUAGGCUGCGGGGUAAGUCUGAUGUGAAAUCCCGGGGCUCAACCCCGGAACUGCAUUGGAUACUGCCUUGCUAGAGCACUGGAGAGGAGACUGGAAUUUACGGUGUAGCAGUGAAAUGCGUAGAUAUCGCAAGGAACACCAGUGGCGAAGGCGGCUUGCUAGCUUGUAACUGACGCUGAGGCGCGAAAGCUAGGGGAGCGAACGGG